UAACUGCAUAGUCUAAGUGGUCGUUGAGCCCUAGGUUCAAGGUUAAAAGGGAAACCGGUGAAAUUCCGGUACAGUCACCUCUGCUGUGAAGCGGACGAGGAAAUAGAAGCCAUUGAAUAGCAAUUUGAGAAGGCAUUUCCAAGGAUGAAGCAAAGUCAGAACACCUGCCAUGUAUAUAGAGUAUUU
Molecule: non-coding RNA, 186 nt
Filed under: Lachnospiraceae bacterium CAG:364
Lineage: Bacteria; Bacillati; Bacillota; Clostridia; Lachnospirales; Lachnospiraceae
Also listed under: 1 other name
Source: RNAcentral